GAUGAACGCUGGCGGCGUGCCUAAUACAUGCAAGUCGAGCGAACGGACGAGAAGCUUGCUUCUCUGAUGUUAGCGGCGGACGGGUGAGUAACACGUGGAUAACCUACCUAUAAGACUGGGAUAACUUCGGGAAACCGGAGCUAAUACCGGAUGAUAUUUUGAACCGCAUGGUUCAAAAGUGAUAGACGGUCUUGCUGUCACUUAUAGAUGGAUCCGCGCUGCAUUAGCUAGUUGGUAAGGUAACGGCUUACCAAGGCAACGAUGCAUAGCCGACCUGAGAGGGUGAUCGGCCACACUGGAACUGAGACACGGUCCAGACUCCUACGGGAGACAGCAGUAGGGAAUCUUCCGCAAUGGGCGAAAGCCUGACGGAGCAACGCCGCGUGAGUGAUGAAGGUCUUCGGAUCGUAAAACUCUGUUAUUAGGGAAGAACAUAUGUGUAAGUAACUGUGCACAUCUUGACGGUACCUAAUCAGAAAGCCACGGCUAACUACGUGCCAGCAGCCGCGGUAAUACGUAGGUGGCAAGCGUUAUCCGGAAUUAUUGGGCGUAAAGCGCGCGUAUGCGGUUUUUUAGUCUGAUGUGAAAGCCCACGGCUCAACCGUGGAGGGUCAUUGGAAACUGGAAAACUUGAGUGCAGAAGAGGAAAGUGGAAUUCCAUGUGUAGCGGUGAAAUGCGCAGAGAUAUGGAGGAACACCAGUGGCGAAGGCGACUUUCUGGUCUGUAACUGACGCUGAUGCGCGAAAGCGUGGGGAUCAAACAGGAUUAGAUACCCUGGUAGUCCACGCCGUAAACGAUGAGUGCUAAGUGUUAGGGGGUUUCCGCCCCUUAGUGCUGCAGCUAACGCAUUAAGCACUCCGCCUGGGGAGUACGACCGCAAGGUUGAAACUCAAAGGAAUUGACGGGGACCCGCACAAGCGGUGGAGCAUGUGGUUUAAUUCGAAGCAACGCGAAGAACCUUACCAAAUCUUGACAUCCUUUGACAACUCUAGAGAUAGAGCCUUCCCCUUCGGGGGACAAAGUGACAGGUGGUGCAUGGUUGUCGUCAGCUCGUGUCGUGAGAUGUUGGGUUAAGUCCCGCAACGAGCGCAACCCUUAAGCUUAGUUGCCAUCAUUAAGUUGGGCACUCUAAGUUGACUGCCGGUGACAAACCGGAGGAAGGUGGGGAUGACGUCAAAUCAUCAUGCCCCUUAUGAUUUGGGCUACACACGUGCUACAAUGGACAAUACAAAGGGCAGCGAAACCGCGAGGUCAAGCAAAUCCCAUAAAGUUGUUCUCAGUUCGGAUUGUAGUCUGCAACUCGACUACAUGAAGCUGGAAUCGCUAGUAAUCGUAGAUCAGCAUGCUACGGUGAAUACGUUCCCGGGUCU
RNAcentral lists this ribosomal RNA (1371 nucleotides) under uncultured bacterium. Its description in RNAcentral is "bacterial SSU rRNA". It matches the Rfam family "Bacterial small subunit ribosomal RNA", at positions 28 to 1381 of the family's 1533-position model. The record is from RNAcentral.